This 76-nucleotide transfer RNA is filed under the name Notiothemis robertsi. RNAcentral describes it as "tRNA-Val". Lineage: Eukaryota; Metazoa; Arthropoda; Insecta; Odonata; Libellulidae. The record is from RNAcentral.
AAAUUUAAUUGUGCAAUUCAAUUUGAUUUGAUAAUUCUUAUCUUACUUAACUUUAUUUAAUUUAUUUAUGAGAAAU